RNAcentral lists this ribosomal RNA (500 nucleotides) under uncultured bacterium. RNAcentral's name for it is "partial 16S ribosomal RNA". It matches the Rfam family "Bacterial small subunit ribosomal RNA", at positions 30 to 523 of the family's 1533-position model. The record is from RNAcentral.
AUUGAACGCUGGCGGCAUGCCUUACACAUGCAAGUCGAACGGCAGCACGGGAGCAAUCCUGGUGGCGAGUGGCGAACGGGUGAGUAAUAUAUCGGAACGUGCCCAGUCGUGGGGGAUAACGCAGCGAAAGCUGUGCUAAUACCGCAUACGAUCUACGGAUGAAAGCGGGGGAUCGCAAGACCUCGCGCGAUUGGAGCGGCCGAUAUCAGAUUAGCUAGUUGGUGAGGUAAAGGCUCACCAAGGCGACGAGCUGUAGCUGGUCUGAGAGGACGACCAGCCACACUGGAACUGAGACACGGUCCAGACUCCUACGGGGGGCAGCAGUGGGGAAUUUUGGACAAUGGGAGCAAGCCUGAUCCAGCAAUGCCGCGUGCAGGAUGAAGGCCUUCGGGUUGUAAACUGCUUUUGUACGGAACGAAACGGUGAGCUCUAAUACAGUUUGCUAAUGACGGUACCGUAAGAAUAAGCACCGGCUAACUACGUGCCAGCAGCCGCCGUAA